UACGUAGGGGGCUAGCGUUGUCCGGAAUCAUUGGGCGUAAAGCGCGCGUAGGCGGUCUUUUAAGUCGGAUGUGAAAGCCCUCGGCUCAACCGAGGAAGUGCAUCCGAAACUGAAAGGCUUGAGUAUGGAAGAGGGUCGCGGAAUUCCCGGUGUAGAGGUGAAAUUCGUAGAUAUCGGGAGGAACACCGGUGGCGAAGGCGGCGACCUGGGCCAAUACUGACGCUGAGAUGCGAAAGCGUGGGGAGCAAACAGG
This 253-nucleotide ribosomal RNA is filed under the name uncultured bacterium. Its description in RNAcentral is "partial 16S ribosomal RNA". It matches the Rfam family "Bacterial small subunit ribosomal RNA", at positions 524 to 776 of the family's 1533-position model. The record is from RNAcentral.